GACAGAGGUGCCGAGCGUUAGGCGGAAUCACUGGGCUUAAAGCGUGUGUAGGCGGACGGCUAAGUGUCUUGUGAAAUCCCACAGCUUAACUGUGGAACUGCUCGACAUACUGGUCGUCUUGAGCAGCCUAGGGGCGAGCGGAACAAACGGUGGAGCGGUGAAAUGCGUAGAUAUCGUUUGGAACGCCAAUGGUGAAAACAGCUCGCUGGGGGCUCGCUGACGCUGAGACACGAAAGCCAGGGGAGCGAACGGG
RNAcentral lists this ribosomal RNA (253 nucleotides) under uncultured bacterium. RNAcentral's name for it is "partial 16S ribosomal RNA". It matches the Rfam family "Bacterial small subunit ribosomal RNA", at positions 524 to 776 of the family's 1533-position model. The record is from RNAcentral.